GCCGGACAUGGUGGCGUAUGCCUGUAAUCCCAGCUACUUGGGAGGCUGAGGCAGGAGACUUGCUUGAACCCAGGAGGCAGAGGUUGCAGUGAGCUGAGAUCACGCCACUGCACUCCAGCCUGGGCAACAGAGCUAGACUCUGUCUCAA
This 148-nucleotide non-coding RNA is filed under the name Gorilla gorilla gorilla (western lowland gorilla). Lineage: Eukaryota; Metazoa; Chordata; Mammalia; Primates; Hominidae. The record is from Rfam by way of RNAcentral.